UAAUAGUGGGAUAUUACUUCACUAUUGAUUCGUACGUGAAUAUAAUUAUUCCUAUUUGUCGGUCACAUACUUCGUUCGGCACGCCUCCACGACAAACUUUCCUAGCAACAAUUUAAACUCAGUAUACUUAAUCACACAUUUGUAUGGGUGGCAACUUAAUUAAAAAUUCCUUAAGCAACUUGCAUAUUUUUCAUUCAAAAUAUGCACAAUAUUAAACUACCCAUAAAUCUUAAAAUAUAACAUUAACUUACCAUUGGGCCUUUUUUAUUUCUUUACGACCUUU
Molecule: long non-coding RNA, 283 nt
Filed under: Theobroma cacao (cacao)
Lineage: Eukaryota; Viridiplantae; Streptophyta; Magnoliopsida; Malvales; Malvaceae
Description: long non-coding RNA (TCAC_LNC002353)
Source: RNAcentral